Molecule: ribosomal RNA, 497 nt
Filed under: uncultured bacterium
Lineage: Bacteria
Description: partial 16S ribosomal RNA
Rfam family: Bacterial small subunit ribosomal RNA
Source: RNAcentral
GAUGAACGCUGGCGGCGUGCCUAAUACAUGCAAGUCGAGCGAACGGACGAGAAGCUUGCUUCUCUGAUGUUAGCGGCGGACGGGUGAGUAACACGUGGAUAACCUACCUAUAAGACUGGGAUAACUUCGGGAAACCGGAGCUAAUACCGGAUGAUAUUUUGAACCGCAUGGUUCAAAAGUGAAAGACGGUCUUGCUGUCACUUAUAGAUGGAUCCGCGCUGCAUUAGCUAGUUGGUAAGGUAACGGCUUACCAAGGCAACGAUGCAUAGCCGACCUGAGAGGGUGAUCAGCCACACUGGAACUGAGACACGGUCCAGACUCCUACGGGAGGCAGCAGUAGGGAAUCUUCCGCAAUGGGCGAAAGCCUGACGGAGCAACGCCGCGUGUGUGAUGAAGGUCUUCGGAUCGUAAAACUCUGUUAUUAGGGAAGAACAUAUGUGUAAGUAACUGUGCACAUCUUGACGGUACCUAAUCAGAAAGCCCCGGCUAACUACGUG